GCCCCCAUAGCUCAGCUGGCUAGAGCACCUGACUCUUAAUCAGGGUGUCACAGGUUCGAGCCCUGUUGGGGGUACCA
This 77-nucleotide transfer RNA is filed under the name Candidatus Omnitrophica bacterium CG_4_9_14_0_2_um_filter_42_8. RNAcentral describes it as "tRNA-Lys". It matches the Rfam family "tRNA". Rfam says of the family: Transfer RNA (tRNA) molecules are approximately 80 nucleotides in length. Their secondary structure includes four short double-helical elements and three loops (D, anti-codon, and T loops). The record is from RNAcentral. Lineage: Bacteria; Pseudomonadati; Candidatus Omnitrophota. RNAcentral also lists the same sequence under 1 other name.